This 251-nucleotide ribosomal RNA is filed under the name uncultured bacterium. RNAcentral describes it as "partial 16S ribosomal RNA". It matches the Rfam family "Bacterial small subunit ribosomal RNA", at positions 525 to 775 of the family's 1533-position model. The record is from RNAcentral.
ACGUAGGGGGCAAGCGUUAUCCGGAUUUACUGGGUGUAAAGGGAGCGUAGACGGACUGGCAAGUCUGAUGUGAAAGGCGGGGGCUCAACCCCUGGGCUGCAUUGGAAACUGUUAGUCUUGAGUGCCGGAGAGGUAAGCGGAAUUCCUAGUGUAGCGGUGAAAUGCGUAGAUAUUAGGAGGAACACCAGUGGCGAAGGCGGCUUACUGGACGGUAACUGACGUUGAGGCUCGAAAGCGUGGGGAGCAAACAG